AGGCUUGAAAAACAACUCCAGGAGCUCUCAAGUGAGCAAAGGUCACUGUGCUGUUCGGAUGCUCCCCAGAAUCUACUUUGGCCCCACUGGAUGGAGGCUUUUGGGACUCCAAUUUGAGCUUUUCCCACAACUGUACCCCUCUGGCCUUCCACUCUGUCAAGCACUGGAUGAGACUUGAAAUAUCCAAACAACUCUGGGAAGCAGCAGAAAGCACAAACCAGGGUUUGGGUCUUCCAUUUCCUGAUUUAGACUGGAUCAGCUCCUCUGCUGCUCCUCCACUCGCUUCUGGAGACAAAUGGUCAGUUUUUUUCUCUCCAAGAGGUUGAUCUCUCUGGAUUUAUUCAAGGUCACAUCCCACAGUAAUUAUCAAGGUAUACGCUUGGCUAAGUUUAGAGGACACUGUCUAUUUUCUGAAGCAGAUGUUGACAUGGAAGCUGCCAUUAUCGUCAUGGUGAUCUGUUUAUUUACAUCCAUCCUGAGUACUAGAAGACAAGAUGAACAUCUGCUCUAUGAGCAGUCUGCAGAGAAUACAGAGAAAGAGAAGGUGAUAUGAAACUUAUUCCUCAUCAGAACUGUGAAUCAGUAAUAGAAGAUCCAGCUGGAGAGAGUGAGCCCACUGGUGUGAAUGAGUAACCAAGUGCACCUGCCUCCUUCCCAGAUGAUGGAGAGAGUGGAAUCGCAGAGUCCAAAUUCAAGCCAGGUUUUGUUGCCAGCAUCUCAUCCAUCCCCCUAACGAGCAAGGAGCAAUCUUGAGGAGGGAUCUUCAAAAUACCAGCCCAGCAGAAAGACUCAUUUGGUUGUCAUUAGCCAUCUACACAUGAACUUGGUGGGACGAAUGCUAUGUAGGAACUGAAUUAAGUUUUGAGGCCAUUUCUCCAGAGACUGAGGUGGAAUAGGGGAAAAGAAUACCCACAGUAAUUGUGCUGUAUAAUUACAGCAACCAGGUUUGGCCCAGGAGAAGAAACAAGAAAAUGUGUCCCCCUCCCUUCCUUCUUUGAAAAGGUGCUGGAAGAGAUGUUUCUACAUUUAUUCUUGCUAUACCUUUAAAGUAAAUAUCUCUUUGUGAAAGCUUAUUGAUGUCAAGUGUUUCAAUGGAUCUGAGACCCUCUUCACUGGCCUCUAGUUAUGGGAGGGUGGUAGAGCCAGGAGCAGCUCAAACCAAUGGCAGUAGUGAUAAAGUUCAGUCCCAUCCCAAAAGGUUAUAUCCUAGAAACCUGAGUGGAGAUGUAGACUGUCUGGCUCUGGCAGAGUAGAGCAGAACACACCUUCUCCAUGCUAUUUUACUUUCAGUGGUACCACAUAUUGAUUAUCUGGGACACCAGGAGAAUCACCUUUAUUGUUGCUUUAAGAACUAUGGUUUGCAUUCAUGUUCUAUGGUUACAGGUUUUAAGCUUACCCCUGGCUGAUUUUUCAAGGACCACAGACAGUUUUGGUCUAGGGAAGAAUCUAUAACACUUCCCUAGGGGACAUUCCUAUAAUGUUGUGUACCAGUGUACACAGUGCAGGUGGGAAAACAUGACCCAGAUGAUAUUGUGAUCUCCUUGGUUGAGCUGAGAUUUUCUCUUCUAAGCCCCCAAACCCAUUCACUCCUGUGUAUUUUGUUGUCUCCACUAUUCUAGGUAACUUCCCCAUCUCUGUUUCAUCAUUUUCUUUGGCAAAUACACUUACCUGCCAUUUGGGGUUGUCUUUUGUGGACUACUAAGUUUCUUGGAGGAGGAGUUAGAGUUGGUCUGGAAUGGAUAUGGUAGAUUCACUCAGGAUUUAGUUUAGGGAAAGGCCCCUGACAUCAAAGUGAUGAAGAAAACAAAGACUCAUUCCAUAGCAGCACCACAGGCUCCCCUGGCUUUUCAAAAUGGCCAAAGUGAUUAAUGGGAGAGGUGAAUAAGCAACCCAAAAGAGAGUCAUAUUUGAACUUGCAUCCAUCUCUGGAUGAACAUCUCUGGAUGGAUGGUGCCUCAUCCAUUCCUCUAUGUAAGCCCAGUAUUUCAGGAUCGGGGUUAGGGGGCUUGUUUUUAAACUGUAUCCCACUAGCAUAGGCUUUUUGUCUUCCAUCCUCUAUUAUACAGACCCAUUAGCCCUAAACUACAAGGACAGUUGGUUGUCUCUCGAACCAAGAAUGACGAUUGUCUUUGUGUGUUUUUGUGCACAAAGACACCUGUGCAUGAAGAUUUAAGUGGAAAAGUCGAUGCACAGAGACAGUCCCACUCUCUUGGCGUUGGAAGCCUGGGUCCAUUGGCACGAAAAGUUGUUACACCUGGAGACUUCCUCAGCUGCAUUGGAUAGCCAUGUUGUCUUUUGUGCUCCAUCACGCCCAUAGCACUCCACAGUGCCUUGCUGCAUCGCCAUCUCAGCCGUUGAACCUUCUUGUUGGUUUCUUCCGCCUGUUCCGCCGAAGCAGUCUUCACAUGCUGGGUGAGCAAAGCCCUAGUUCACCAGGGGUCGACGUUGACCUGAUGGCUACCCUCACAAGGUUUAGCCAGCCUGUCGAAGCCGUUGCUCGGGGUGUGGCCGCUGCCGCAUGCUAGCAGCUACUAGGAGCCACAAGUGAGAGCUGGGUGUCAGGUGAGGGUCAGUGGCUGGAGAGCUGCCCUAGAAGGGCACGACAAGCCCUCCAUACCAGAGAUAUUACCCCUCCCUGAGCACCCAAUACACCCUACAAGGACAGUACUUACUUACAUACCCAUUGCACAUAAACAUAGC
This is a long non-coding RNA of Monodelphis domestica (gray short-tailed opossum), 2700 nucleotides long. RefSeq lists it as uncharacterized. The record is from RefSeq and is a predicted model, not a curated record. Lineage: Eukaryota; Metazoa; Chordata; Mammalia; Didelphimorphia; Didelphidae.